This is a ribosomal RNA of 437 nucleotides. It matches the Rfam family "Bacterial small subunit ribosomal RNA", at positions 341 to 792 of the family's 1533-position model.
ACGGAAGGCAGCAGUAGGGAAUAUUGGGCAAUGGAGGCAACUCUGACCCAGCAACGCCGCGUGAAGGAAGAAGGCCUUCGGGUUGUAAACUUUUGUUGUGAAGGAAGAAGAAAGUGACGGUACUUCACAAGGAAGCCCCGGCUAACUAUGUGCCAGCAGCCGCGGUAAUACAUAGGGGGCGAGCGUUGUCCGGAAUCACUGGGCGUAAAGGGAGCGUAGGCGGAAAUUUAAGUUAAGUGUGAAAGCCUUGGGCUUAACCCGAGAACUGCACUUAAUACUGGGUUUCUAGAGUGUUGGAGAGGUAAGCGGAAUUCCUAGUGUAGCGGUAGAAUGCGUAGAUAUUAGGAGGAACAUCUGAGGCGAAGGCGGCUUACUGGACAAUAACUGACGCUGAGGUUCGAAAGCGUGGGGAGCAAACAGGAUUAGAUACCCUGGUA